GUGCUCACUUUGGCAGCACGUACAAUAAAGUCGGAAUGAUACGGUGAAGAUUGGCAUGGCCCCCAUGCAAAGGUGACAUGCAAGUUUGUGAAGCAUUCCAUUUUUUU
Ailuropoda melanoleuca (giant panda) is the source of this 107-nucleotide small nuclear RNA. Lineage: Eukaryota; Metazoa; Chordata; Mammalia; Carnivora; Ursidae. The record is from Ensembl.